CAGCAGCCGCGGGAAUACGAAGGGGGCUAGCGUUGUUCGGAAUUACUGGGCGUAAAGCGCACGUAGGCGGAUUUUUAAGUCAGGGGUGAAAUCCCGAGGCUCAACCUCGGAACUGCCUUUGAUACUGGAGAUCUUGAGUUCGGAAGAGGUUGGUGGAACAGCCAGUGUAGAGGUGAAAUUCGUAGAUAUUAGCUAGAACACCAGUGGCGAAGGCGGCCAACUGGUCCGAUACUGACGCUGAGGUGCGAAAGCGUGGGGAGCAAACAGGAUUAGAUACCCCUGUAGUCCCUGUCUCUUAUAA
This 301-nucleotide ribosomal RNA is filed under the name uncultured bacterium. RNAcentral's name for it is "partial 16S ribosomal RNA". It matches the Rfam family "Bacterial small subunit ribosomal RNA", at positions 509 to 809 of the family's 1533-position model. The record is from RNAcentral.